GACGAACGCUGGCGGCGUGCCUAACACAUGCAAGUCGAACGGAGUAGUUAGCAAUAACUACUUAGUGGCGAACGGGUGAGUAACGCGUAGACAACCUGCCUCUAAAUUGGGGACAACACUGCGAAAGUGGUGCUAAUACCGAAUGUGGUAACUUAGUUGCAUAACUGAGUUAAGAAAGGUGGCCUCUAUAUAUAAGCUACCGUUUAGAGAUGGGUCUGCGUCUGAUUAGCUAGUUGAUGAGGUAAUGGCUCACCAAGGCGACGAUCAGUAGCCGGUCUGAGAGGAUGAACGGCCACACUGGGACUGAGACACGGCCCAGACUCCUACGGGUGGCAG
RNAcentral lists this ribosomal RNA (336 nucleotides) under uncultured Bacillota bacterium. RNAcentral describes it as "bacterial SSU rRNA". It matches the Rfam family "Bacterial small subunit ribosomal RNA", at positions 28 to 351 of the family's 1533-position model. The record is from RNAcentral. Lineage: Bacteria; Bacillati; Bacillota.